This 325-nucleotide ribosomal RNA is filed under the name uncultured eukaryote. RNAcentral describes it as "partial 18S ribosomal RNA". It matches the Rfam family "Eukaryotic small subunit ribosomal RNA", at positions 1470 to 1796 of the family's 1831-position model. The record is from RNAcentral.
CCCUUAGAUGUUCUGGGCUGCACGCGCGCUACACUGAUACUUUCAGCGAGUCCACCACCUUGCCUGAGAGGGUGGGGUAACCUCUGGAAAGUGUAUCGUGAUGGGGAUCGAUUAUUGUAAUUAUUAAUCUUCAACGAGGAAUUCCUAGUAAGCAUGUGUCAUCAGCCCGUGCUGAUUACGUCCCUGCCCUUUGUACACACCGCCCGUCGCUCCUACCGAUUGAAUGCUCAGGUGAGCCAUUCGGACUUUCAUCAUGCUGGUUUCCAGUUUUGAUGAAGGAAAGUCUUGCGAACCUUAUCAUUUAGAGGAAGGAGAAGUCGUAACA